AGGGAGACGGCCAUUCUGAAACUGCAUAUGCAAAAUGCCCAGACACGUAUGACAGCACGGCUUAUUUUGCCUUCACCCAUCUCGGCCUGCAGGUUCUUCCUGAGCCCCAGGUCCCUGGGACCCUGCUCUGUACCCUGUAACCCCAGGUGUAACCUUGCUCCCUACCCCCAGGCCCACGAUGCCAGCAGGAUGUGGACGAGUGUGCUGGCCCCGCACCCUGUGGCCCUCAUGGUAUCUGCACCAACCUGGCAGGGAGUUUCAGCUGCACCUGCCAUGGAGGGUACACUGGCCCUUCCUGCGAUCAGGACAUCAAUGACUGUGACCCCAACCCAUGCCUGAACGGUGGCUCGUGCCAAGACGGCGUGGGCUCCUUUUCUUGCUCCUGCCUCCCUGGUUUCGCCGGCCCACGAUGCGCCCGCGAUGUGGAUGAGUGCCUGAGCAACCCCUGCGGCCCGGGCACCUGUACCGACCACGUGGCCUCCUUCACCUGCACCUGCCCGCCGGGCUACGGAGGCUUCCACUGCGAACAGGACCUGCCCGACUGCAGCCCCAGCUCCUGCUUCAAUGGCGGGACCUGUGUGGACGGCGUGAACUCGUUCAGCUGCCUGUGCCGUCCCGGCUACACAGGAGCCCACUGCCAACAUGAGGCAGACCCCUGCCUCUCACGGCCCUGCCUACACGGGGGCGUCUGCAGCGCCGCCCACCCUGGCUUCCGCU
RNAcentral lists this long non-coding RNA (717 nucleotides) under Pan troglodytes (chimpanzee). RNAcentral describes it as "long non-coding RNA NONPTRT008397". Lineage: Eukaryota; Metazoa; Chordata; Mammalia; Primates; Hominidae. The record is from RNAcentral.